CAGAGGUGCAAGCGUUAAUCGGAAUUACUGGGCGUAAAGCGCGCGUAGGUGGUUUGUUAAGUUGGAUGUGAAAGCCCCGGGCUCAACCUGGGAACUGCAUCCAAACUGGCAAGCUAGAGUACGGUAGAGGGUGGUGGAAUUUCCUGUGUAGCGGUGAAAUGCGUAGAUAUAGGAAGGAACACCAGUGGCGAAGGCGACCACCUGGACUGAUACUGACACUGAGGUGCGAAAGCGUGGGAGCAAACAGGAUU
RNAcentral lists this ribosomal RNA (251 nucleotides) under uncultured bacterium. RNAcentral describes it as "partial 16S ribosomal RNA". It matches the Rfam family "Bacterial small subunit ribosomal RNA", at positions 527 to 779 of the family's 1533-position model. The record is from RNAcentral.